This 266-nucleotide ribosomal RNA is filed under the name uncultured bacterium. RNAcentral's name for it is "partial 16S ribosomal RNA". It matches the Rfam family "Bacterial small subunit ribosomal RNA", at positions 88 to 354 of the family's 1533-position model. The record is from RNAcentral.
UGACUGAGCGGCGGACGGGUGAGUAACGCGUGGGCAACCUGCCUUACACAGGGGGAUAACAGUUAGAAAUGACUGCUAAUACCGCAUAAGACCACAGGACUGCAUGGUCCGGUGGUAAAAACUCCGGUGGUGUAAGAUGGGCCCGCGUCUGAUUAGGUAGUUGGCGGGGUAACGGCCCACCAAGCCGACGAUCAGUAGCCGACCUGAGAGGGUGACCGGCCACAUUGGGACUGAGACACGGCCCAGACUCCUACGGGAGGCAGCAG